GUUUAAUCUUGAGAAGGUUUAGGGGUUACAUAAAACCUCUCUACAGACACUUGAAUAAUUAACACAAGGAAAAAGGGAGUAAAAACUUAGUCACUUUUACCAAUUUUCUAACAAUUAAAGUUACUAACGGAUGGAAUUGGCUGCUCCCCAGAGAAUGUGUUCCCAGGCUCUGGAAAUGUUCAGAAAGAGGCUAGAUGACUUCUAUGUCAGGGGCGCUGUAGAAGGGAUUCUUACACGGGGGAAAGAUUAGAAUGAAUGACUUUCAAAGUUCUGUGAAACAGGAUUCUAUGAUCUUUGGAGCAGCUUUGAGGUGGAUCCGUGUUUGGGAAAGUGUCAGAGCACUCUAAUUUCCCGUCCCAUCCUGUCAGUUGGAAUGUAGAAAAGUAGACGUGAAACUUCUGCAUAAACAAAACGAAGGCACAAAGGAUAAGAAGGGAAAUAGCGUUUGGCCCCACUCCUGGUACUUUCCCUCCAGUCUAGAAGCAGAGGCCCAGGUGUGUGUCUGAACAAGAGGUCCCAGCAGUAGAUUUUCUGUGACCAGAAGAGGGCACCAAAUCCACGCCAUUGUCUGCUCCCUUAGACUUUAAACUUGGCCAAAUUCCAGGUAAGUUUUCCCAGCCGGCUCAGCCCGCUCCUCAUCCUGUCCUAGGACAUAAAAGUCAAGAAUUUCCCAUCUUUGCUUCCUCUCCGCAGGGGAAGGUUGGUAAAGUUCUUCACUGGAAGGCGAAAGUCACCUCCCUCUCCUCACGCCCACCUCCUUUAUCUAACCAGCAAACCUCCGUUUUCUAGCAAGAAAAAGGCAGCAAAGAGACGGAGGGAAUUGGGGAGAAAAACACGGUGCACGUGGAAGCAAGAGACCCGCGCUCGUUGCAGCGUGAUCUCGACAAGUUGCCUCAGUUGCCUCAUUUGUAAAAAAGGUCUGACAGCCUGUGGUUAUGUUAGAGAAAGAAAAAGCAUUCUUCCCAGAAGAGGAAUUCCCCAGUCAUCAGACAGCCCGAGGACCAAAGAUGGAUCAGCGCUUCCUUCCCUCCCUCCCCCGCCAGCUCUGCCCUUUCCCUCCCAUCCCUGCCUCCGCCAGCUCAGGGAUGAGGAAAUAAAUGCCAGCACCGCGGAUCUCGGGUCAGGCCGCACUGGGCACGAACGGCGGAAGUCACCGGGUUUAAAAGAAAGGCCGAGUUUCUUUCUCCUAGAAUAGGAACCUUCCCUCACAGACCGGUGGGUGACCAGUGAUGCUUCAACCUCUCGGAGCCUCAUUGGCUGAGGCCCAUGCGGGAGACAAACUCGGAAUCAGACAAAUGUUCCGUUAAGUCAGAAACGCCUCCUUUCUCCGCUUCUGGUCCCCAGCUCGGCCCCUUUCUCCGGCUCCUUAAAAAGGGCCCAGGAGCAAUAACUGCCCGAGAGGGACAGCGGGGAAGCCUGAAGCCAACAUCUGGGGAGUCGGGUUCCAGGAGCCCUGGGUCUGCCUCCCUUUCUGCCCCCUCCCUGUGCGACUAGCGGAUCGGCUCCUCUCCUAGGUGUUCUCACCUGUCAGGAGCGCCUUUUGAUACAUCGUAAUUAUGCUGCGGUUACAGUCCUGUGUGUAUAUGCUAAUAUAUGGCGAUUAUA
Molecule: long non-coding RNA, 1605 nt
Organism: Sarcophilus harrisii (Tasmanian devil)
Lineage: Eukaryota; Metazoa; Chordata; Mammalia; Dasyuromorphia; Dasyuridae
Source: Ensembl